RNAcentral lists this transfer RNA (69 nucleotides) under Comicus campestris. Its description in RNAcentral is "tRNA-Gly". Lineage: Eukaryota; Metazoa; Arthropoda; Insecta; Orthoptera; Schizodactylidae. The record is from RNAcentral.
AUUUAUUUAAUAUAUAUAAAGUAUAAUUGACUUCCAAUCAAUCAGAUUGAUUUUUCAUCAAAAUAAAUA